Molecule: long non-coding RNA, 2117 nt
Organism: Ornithodoros turicata
Lineage: Eukaryota; Metazoa; Arthropoda; Arachnida; Ixodida; Argasidae
Exons: 6
Source: RefSeq, a predicted model, not a curated record
UUUUUAAAAAAUAUGUUCACACUUAGCGUGGACACCCUGUAUAUGUAUACGUAUAUAGUCGUGGAAGGAAAUAGACGCGGACAACAGAUUUUAGGGAAGUUAGAAACACUAGUUCAUUUAAUGGGCAGAAAUUAAAAGUUGAAUGAAUUAAAAGUUGAAAAAGUUCUAACUUCCCUAAAAUCUGUUUUCCGCGUCUGUUUCCUUCCACAACUGUAAAACUUCGUGGCCGUUUGACUUUUGUACUUCCCUCGACCAAUAUGUAUCUAUAUAUGUAUAUAUAUAUAUAUAUGUGUGUGUGUGUGACGUAACGACGAAGAGAUCGAACUCACGCUCGUGCAUGGGCGGGGAUAUUCAUUAAACUGAUAUUGCUCGGGACGGAUGUUCCAGUGUUCAUCACACGAGUCGACAGGACACUACCUAAGUGUGGACCCUCAUGCCCAAACACCAACCUCUCAACAUUCCUAAAUAUCAUGGCGGCGCCGACGACGUACCCGUGGGAAAAUGGCUCCGCUUGUUCGAGUCCAAGGCAGACACCAACGGCUGGACAGAGCAGGACAAGAUCAACAACUUAAGCGAGUACAUCGAAGGCGAAGCGUUCCGCUGGUACCUUUUCAAGAGCAUGAAGACUUGGAAGGAUGUCAUGGAACGUAUGAGUGUCCGCUUCGAAAGCCCAGUUGCAGACCCAUUUCGCUCCUUUAUUCACUGCCGAGUGCCGACAGAGGAAGGACCAGUCGGUUGGCUCCUACUAUGAGGAGAAACGAAGACUGGGUGAGUCGGCUGGGCUCAGGGCCAGUCACGUUGUGUCCGGUCUGACCGAUGGUCUCCUCCCAGAGUUGGAACUGGCGCUUGCCGGACUUCGGAUUGAAUCUCCCAUCGAAUGGCUCGCCUCAGUUCAGAGAGUGGAGAUCGCUAUGAGCAGACAAAGGCAAGGGACCGCCUUCAAACAUCAGCAACCACGAAGAACCGACGAUGGGAUGGAUGGGAAGUACAUGCAAACCCGUUAGCAGGACGACCUUCCGAGGACUGAGUGUAGACACUGUUCCUCAAUCGGUCUGGCGCAGCAGUACCACUGGCAUAGCACGUGCCCUAACCGAGUAUCUACCUCCGCCCUCACGGAUGAGCAGGGAAACGGGCAGUGCGACCCAGGCCUCAAUAAUUCAUUUCAAAGCUUUCAUCAAUGGGACUCCUGUUACUGCCUUUCUAGAUACAGGAUCCACAAUUUAAUGUAUCAGCGAAGACAUCUACAGGAGGCUCCACACUGUAAAAAAAUACUGUGAUUUCUACGGGCGUUUAAUAGUAUCUGACGACGGCGUGUUAGCGUAAUCACAAAUACUGCGAAAACUAGGUAAAAGUGGCGCCAUCACCAUGCGCCGGCCAAAACCUUCACUGCGGAGGCAAAGCCAAGCCAAGUACGGGUCAUUGCCGUCAUUCACAACCGCCGAACAUCGUGCGUGGGCGAUCGUUGAGCUGACUGACGUCGAGCUGACUGAUGGGUGCACAUGGUUCCUUCCUAAAAGCGAUAAAACCCCGGUGCAGGGGACACAGAGAGACAAAACAGACGAACCACUGACUGAAACGGGGUUUUAUCGCCUUUAGGAUGUACCACCAAACAGCCCGGUUUUUAUCGCUUUCUAACCUCAUGGUUCCUUCUUAUGUUCUUCCAUUGAAAAAAUAAACUGUGAGUAUAACUGCGUGUCAAUUGCCCUGCUCCCUGUAACAGUUUCCUUCCUCUUUGCAAUGUUUUGAUGCCAGAGCUGACUGAUGGGUGCACAUAGUUCCUUCAAAUGUUCUUCUUUUGAAAAAAUAAACGAGCUGACUGAUGGGUGCACAUGGUUCCUUCGAAUGUUCUUCCUUUGAAAAAAUAAACUUGUUUUGAUGCCAGAGCUGACUGAUGGGUGCACAUGGUUCCUUCGAAUGUUCUUCCUUUGAAAAAAUAAACUAGCUGACUGAUGGGUGCACAUGGUUCCUUCGAAUGUUCUUCCUUUGAAAAAAUAAACGAGCUGACUGAUGGGUGCACAUGGUUCCUUCGAAUGUUCUUCCUUUGAAAAAAUAAACUAGCUGACUGAUGGGUGCACAUGGUUCCUUCGAAUGUUCUUCCUUUGAAAAAAUAAACGGUG